Non-coding RNA from Sus scrofa (pig), 2734 nucleotides. NCBI's taxonomy places the organism in Eukaryota, Metazoa, Chordata, Mammalia, Artiodactyla, Suidae. The record is from RefSeq and is a predicted model, not a curated record.
UUGGUUAAAGAAGUAUAUUAGUGCUGACUUUCCUCUGUUCGUCCUACCUUUUCUCUUCUAUCAACCCCACAAGCCUUUGGCACAAUGAAGUGGGUGACUUUUAUUUCCCUUCUCUUUCUCUUCAGCUCUGCUUAUUCCAGGGGUGUGUUUCGUCGAGAUACAUACAAGAGUGAAAUUGCUCAUCGGUUUAAAGAUUUGGGAGAACAAUAUUUCAAAGGCCUAGUGCUGAUUGCCUUUUCUCAGCAUCUCCAGCAAUGCCCAUAUGAAGAGCAUGUGAAAUUAGUGAGGGAAGUAACUGAGUUUGCAAAAACAUGUGUUGCUGAUGAGUCAGCUGAAAAUUGUGACAAGUCAAUUCACACUCUCUUUGGAGAUAAAUUAUGUGCAAUUCCAUCCCUUCGUGAACACUAUGGUGACUUGGCUGACUGCUGUGAAAAAGAAGAGCCUGAGAGAAACGAAUGCUUCCUCCAACACAAAAAUGAUAACCCCGACAUCCCUAAAUUGAAACCAGACCCUGUUGCUUUAUGCGCUGACUUCCAGGAAGAUGAACAGAAGUUUUGGGGAAAAUACCUAUAUGAAAUUGCCAGAAGACAUCCCUAUUUCUACGCCCCAGAACUCCUUUAUUAUGCCAUUAUAUAUAAAGAUGUUUUUUCAGAAUGCUGCCAAGCUGCUGAUAAAGCUGCCUGCCUGUUACCAAAGAUUGAGCAUCUGAGAGAAAAAGUACUGACUUCCGCCGCCAAACAGAGACUUAAGUGUGCCAGUAUCCAAAAAUUCGGAGAGAGAGCUUUCAAAGCAUGGUCAUUAGCUCGCCUGAGCCAGAGAUUUCCCAAGGCUGACUUUACAGAGAUUUCCAAGAUAGUGACAGAUCUUGCAAAAGUCCACAAGGAAUGCUGCCAUGGUGACCUGCUUGAAUGUGCAGAUGACAGGGCGGAUCUUGCCAAAUAUAUAUGUGAAAAUCAAGACACAAUCUCCACUAAACUGAAGGAAUGCUGUGAUAAGCCUCUGUUGGAAAAAUCCCACUGCAUUGCUGAGGCAAAAAGAGAUGAAUUGCCUGCAGACCUGAACCCAUUAGAACAUGAUUUUGUUGAAGAUAAGGAAGUUUGUAAAAACUAUAAAGAAGCAAAGGAUGUCUUCCUGGGCACGUUUUUGUAUGAGUAUUCAAGAAGGCACCCAGACUACUCUGUCUCAUUGCUGCUGAGAAUUGCCAAGAUAUAUGAAGCCACACUGGAGGACUGCUGUGCCAAAGAGGAUCCUCCGGCAUGCUAUGCCACAGUGUUUGAUAAAUUUCAGCCUCUUGUGGAUGAGCCUAAGAAUUUAAUCAAACAAAACUGUGAACUUUUUGAAAAACUUGGAGAGUAUGGAUUCCAAAAUGCGCUCAUAGUUCGUUACACCAAGAAAGUACCCCAAGUGUCAACUCCAACUCUUGUGGAGGUCGCAAGAAAACUAGGACUAGUGGGCUCUAGGUGUUGUAAGCGUCCUGAAGAAGAAAGACUGUCCUGUGCUGAAGACUAUCUGUCCCUGGUCCUGAACCGGUUGUGCGUGUUGCACGAGAAGACACCAGUGAGCGAAAAAGUUACCAAAUGCUGCACAGAGUCCUUGGUGAACAGACGGCCUUGCUUUUCUGCUCUGACACCAGAUGAAACAUACAAACCCAAAGAAUUUGUUGAGGGAACCUUCACCUUCCAUGCAGACCUAUGCACACUUCCUGAGGAUGAGAAACAAAUCAAGAAGCAAACUGCACUCGUUGAGUUGUUGAAACACAAGCCUCAUGCAACAGAGGAACAACUGAGAACUGUCCUGGGCAACUUUGCAGCCUUUGUACAAAAGUGCUGCGCCGCUCCUGACCAUGAGGCCUGCUUUGCUGUGGAGGUACUGGAUUUGUUUGUCUUCAUUCUAAUGGGUCCAGUUUCCUUUGUUGUUGCAUUUGAUCAAGCUAGGACUUAGUGGCUUAUGUAUCUGAAAAACACUAUGUACAUGCGGAAUGAGAAUCUUACUCUUCAUUGUCUUACAAAAUGACUGAGAUAGCUCUUGCUUUUGUUUGUUUUAAUAUCCUGCUUCACUGUAACUUAUUACUAAAUGUCUGUAAUAAUUGUUUUGUUUCCAAAGUUGUGAUGUUUAUAAAUAUAGAUAGAAAUAUUUGUAAGGCCCAAAAUCUUGUUAUGAAACCAAAACAUUAAUUUAUUUAAACAUUCUCUUGAAAAAUGCUGGUUGGUGAUCUGGAUGAAUCCGAAUGCUUGAUUUUACAGGUGACUGGGGAAGUUUAUAUUUAAAUGGCUGAAUCAUUUAACGUUUAUCCCUAUGAUUUGACAGUAAUUUUUUUAUUCCUUUGGGGGCAGUGAUACCAGUGAACUUCCUUCUAGAGAGUCUAGUACUAAACAGGAAUUAGAGGAUGUGAUGUAUGUAAAAUUACUUCGUAAUCACCAAUGACUUAGUAAAUGUUACUUUUUUAAAAUCCUAAUAAUGGUGCUAAUAUUUUCUCCAUACCUGUCAUUUCUUUGUAUUUAGGGUCCGAAAUUUGUUAUUGAAAUUCGAGGGAUCUUAGCCUAAACAACACAGUGACAAGCAUCUCAGCCUACCCUGAGAAUAAGAGAAAGAGAAAUGAAGACCUAGACUUAUCCAUCUCUUUUUCUUUUCUGUUGGUUUUAAACCAACACCCUGUCUAAAGUACACAAAUUUCUUUAAAUAUUUUGCCUCUUUUCUCUGUGCUACAAUUAAUAAAAAAAUGAAAAGAAUCUAA